AGUGGGGAAUAUUGGACAAUGGGCGCAAGCCUGAUCCAGCCAUGCCGCGUGAGUGACGAAGGUCUUCGGAUUGUAAAGCUCUUUUGCCAGGGACGAUAAUGACGGUACCUGGAGAAUAAGCCCCGGCUAACUUCGUGCCAGCAGCCGCGGUAAUACGAAGGGGGCUAGCGUUGUUCGGAAUUACUGGGCGUAAAGCGCACGUAGGCGGAUUUGUAAGUCAGGGGUGAAAUCCCGGGGCUCAACCUCGGAACUGCCUUUGAUACUGCAAGUCUCGAGUCCGGAAGAGGUGAGUGGAAUUCCUAGUGUAGAGGUGAAAUUCGUAGAUAUUAGGAAGAACACCAGUGGCGAAGGCGGCUCACUGGUCCGGUACUGACGCUGAGGUGCGAAAGCGUGGGGAGCAAA
Molecule: ribosomal RNA, 402 nt
Filed under: Hyphomicrobium vulgare
Lineage: Bacteria; Pseudomonadati; Pseudomonadota; Alphaproteobacteria; Hyphomicrobiales; Hyphomicrobiaceae
Description: bacterial SSU rRNA
Rfam family: Bacterial small subunit ribosomal RNA
Source: RNAcentral